AGAAGAAGAAGGAGAAGAAGGAGGAGAAGAAGAAGAAGAAGAAGAGGAGGAGGAGGAAGAGGAGGAGGAGAAAUGUCUUUGUCCAAAGGCCCCUCUCUGAGAAACAAGAAAAAAUGAAUUUCAAACGACAAAGGAGGAGGAAUGCAGGCCAUGAGCCUCACUGUCAGAAGCUGUCAGAUCUGCGUCCCAGCUCCAGGGGACAACGUUAGCCCCAGGAAUCAGGAUUGCAUCGCCCGUGAGCACCUGAGGGGACCACCCAGCACGACGUCGGGCCUGUCCGGGCGGUGGUGCCCACUGCUGCCCCGCAGGCCCUAACCCGGUCUACCGCGGGUCCCCCCCACCCCGCACCUCUCCGGGGGCAGCCACACUCUUCGCCAUUGUGACCUCCUCCCGGUCACCCUGCAAGGAGGACUCUUCUGUAACAGAGUGUGGGGAGCGAACGUGUGGGAUUCCGCAACCCGUCUUCAUCUGCGUGCUUCCUACGGGAGCCAGCGGCAGUCGGCUCCACGCCGGCCGGCCGGGCGCAGCGCUCAGACACUCGGCCAGACGCCAUUCAGGGCGUCUCCGUGGGGGAGUCUCACGGAGUGGCAUUAGCAUUCCGAUCCGCGGCUCCGAGUGAAGCAGACGCCCUCCAGAACCCAGGCGGGCCUCUCCCGCCAGCUGGCGGCCUCAGCGGGACACAGAGGGGCCUCCCCUGCGCCAGGAGGAAACAGGAAUUCUGCCAGCAGGUGGUCCUCAGCUCAAACCGCAACGGCCGCUCUGCCCCGUCUCCAGUUUGCCCGCCUACCCCGCAGGCCUCGGACCUGCCAGCCUCCAUUCUCUCUAUCUCGCUGUCUCUGUCUCUGUCUUUGUCUCUCUCUGUCUCUAUCUCUCUCUGUUUCUGUCUCUAUCUC
Non-coding RNA from Microcebus murinus (gray mouse lemur), 893 nucleotides. The record is from RefSeq and is a predicted model, not a curated record. Lineage: Eukaryota; Metazoa; Chordata; Mammalia; Primates; Cheirogaleidae.